UAGGUUUUUGGUGGUGGAUAAAUUUUAGGAUUUAUUUUUUAGAUUUUUAAGCUUCAAAAUGUAUUCUUUUAUUGUUUGUUAUUUUAUCGGGCAAGUCACCGGAGUUCUGUCGAAAUGUGACGAGUCCACCACCCAAAACCCCUUUUCCUUUUUUUAUUCUCCGACAGACCAACUUCCGGUCACCUUAUUCUCUUAUUCUUCCUCACUUCCUUUGAACCACCAGAUUUCCACCACACCCACAAAACCUCCCUCUCUCUCACGACUGGGGACCACCAGAAACCAGCCCAUUUCACCAUUCUCUCCGAAAUUCAACCACAUUUUCCAACCAAAAAAUACUAUUGUGACAGCCACACCAAAUCCAUUUCACCAACCACCAAAAAAUCCAACCCAAGGCACUUUGUAACAGCAGCUAAACGGACCAGUCCCUUCUCCUUUCCCCUUUUUUAUUUUUGUUUGGAUUUGUAGGUGUUUUCACCAGUAACUCCGGCGAAGCGAGCACAACUGGAGCAAAGCUCCAAGUUACCAGCGAACAACAACAUCAAUAACUGAACAAACCAGUGAGCUCCUUCUUUGGGCAAAAUAAGAUGAUUUGACUACGAAAGAAGGAACUCGAAGUGAAAGGGCACCGUCUUGUGCAAGGCAACGAUAGUUGGCCCUCUAUCAUCUUCUAUCUGGUAGACUUGGUAAAAGGGCCCCGACUUAUUUCCAGAAUUUGAGUUCGACCGCGGCUUCCCAUACAACUUUGUCCUAUUGUUGUUUGAGUUCUUCACUCAUUUUAGUGCUAAUUGUGAUUGUCGGUUGAUUUUGUUCUUAUAUGAGUGAAUUAAUUUGAAAAUAAGUAAAAUUGGCCAAUAAGAAAAUUUCUCCGUCAGUUUUGGAGGCCUCCUCAUCUUAAUAGAUGAAAAUUUAGCUUAUGUUUAUAUUAUUUGUUUUGUUGAAACUGGCCAAUGAAAAAACUCUCUGUCAAUUUUGGAGGCCUCGCCAAUAUUAAAAGACAAAAAUUUUUAGUUUAAGUUCAUAUAACUUGUUUGUUAAAAUUGUUAAAUGUCCAAUGAAAAACUAUCCGUCGGUAUUUAGAGGCUUCCCUAAUGUUAAAAGACGGAAAUUUAGUUUAUAUUUAUAUUUUUAUUUGUUAAAAUUGACCGAUGAUGAAAUUACCGUCGAUACCCAAGGCCUCCCAUGUUAAUAAGACAGAUCUUUAUUUUUAAGUUAUUAAUUGAUUUAUUUAUUUUUACUCAUAUUUAUUUAUUACUAACAGUUUUACUAAGUGUCUUUACAGGUUCACAGAGUUGCUUCCCAUUGAAGCUAUUCGAAGAACUCAAAUUAUAUUUUUAUUCAUUAUUAUGUAAAAUUGACGUUAGACAAACCUUAGGCCGUUUCUUAUGAUAUUAUUUUAUUUUGUUACUUGUGUAUAUUGCAUAUUUAUAUUACUUGUAUUUAUUAUUAUCUCCUCCUCAUUUGAAAAAAUGAAUUCAGCCGGGACCCACACUUGUGGAUUUCGAAGGGUGCCUAACUCCUUCCCUUCGAAAUAAUUUGAAUCCCUUA
This is a long non-coding RNA of Solanum pennellii, 1545 nucleotides long. RefSeq lists it as uncharacterized. The transcript is spliced from 2 exons. NCBI's taxonomy places the organism in Eukaryota, Viridiplantae, Streptophyta, Magnoliopsida, Solanales, Solanaceae. The record is from RefSeq and is a predicted model, not a curated record.